GACGAACGCUGGCGGCGUGCUUAACACAUGCAAGUCGAACGGAAAGGCCCUGCUUUUGUGGGGUGCUCGAGUGGCGAACGGGUGAGUAACACGUGAGUAACCUGCCCUUGACUUUGGGAUAACUUCAGUAAACUGGGGCUAAUACCGGAUAGGAGCUCCUGCUGCAUGGUGGGGGUUGGAAAGUUUCGGCGGUUGGGGAUGGACUCGGGGCUUAGCAGCUUGUUGGUGGGGUAGUGGCUUACCAAGGCUUUGACGGGUAGCCGGCCUGAGAGGGUGACCGGACACAUUGGGACUGAGCUAAGGCCCAGACUCCUACGGGAGGCAGGAGUGGGGAAUAGUGCACAAUGGGAGGAAGCCUGAUGCAGGAACGACGCGUGCGGGAUGACGGCCUUCGGGUUGUAAACCGCUUUCGCCUGUGACGAAGCGUGAGUGACGGUAAUGGGUAAAGAAGCACCGGCUAACUACGUG
This 468-nucleotide ribosomal RNA is filed under the name uncultured bacterium. RNAcentral describes it as "partial 16S ribosomal RNA". It matches the Rfam family "Bacterial small subunit ribosomal RNA", at positions 28 to 507 of the family's 1533-position model. The record is from RNAcentral.